CCCUUAGAUGUCCUGGGCCGCACGCGCGCUACACUGAUGCAUUCAACGAGUUUAUAACCUUGGCCGAGAGGCCUGGGCAAUCUUGUUAACGUGCAUCGUGAUAGGGAUAGAUUAUUGAAAUUAUUAAUCUUGAACGAGGAAUUCCUAGUAAACGCAGAUCAUCAAUCUGCAUUGAUUACGUCCCUGCCCUUUGUACACACCGCCCGUCGCACCUACCGAUUGGAUGGUCCGGUGAAGCCUCGGGAUUGUGGUUCUUGCCGCUUUAUUGUGGCGUGACCGCGAGAACUUGUCUAAACCUUAUCAUCUAGAGGAAGGUGAAGUCGUAACA
This 328-nucleotide ribosomal RNA is filed under the name uncultured eukaryote. Its description in RNAcentral is "partial 18S ribosomal RNA". It matches the Rfam family "Eukaryotic small subunit ribosomal RNA", at positions 1470 to 1796 of the family's 1831-position model. The record is from RNAcentral.